UCUCAACUUCCCUUGGUUUCCAAAGUAGGUAAAAUUUCAGCCUUCUGUCUCCUACCUGGCUCUAAGCCAAACCUGCACCCAGCUUGACUGUAGAGCAAUGCAACGGAUAGCGCAGCUAUUCCCCGGCCACCAAGGCAAUUUCAACGUUAGGGGAUGCCAUCUUUGAACACAAAGGAUAAUUCUCAAGCUGAUUUAGGGAGUCCCACUAAAUCACCUUGUAGGGGUUGACACGCCUGAAGUUCACAUAGUAGAAAAUGGAACUCGUGCUAUUUGCCACACCUCGAAGGGAGAGUUUUGCUACGGCAUUCCGGGUAACCCACUGGGGAACGAACGGGUGUGGGACGUCCCACGCAGGCGUGACUUCCAGGAUCGGUUCCAGAUCGACCUCUGCCCUGUGCCGCCAAGCUGAAGUCGGAGCUCCAGCACCACCUCCAUCACCCUGCUGGAAUUGAGGAUGGGGAAUUAAUCCAGGCAGAUGAGCACUGGGCUAAGUAGGGGAGCUUUAAAUGCAAAUGGUGCAUGACAGAGAGCAGAUUACAAUUUCUAAGGACUGGGGGGUCUCAGCCUAAAUGAGCUCUGGCUUUGCGGGGUUUCAGCGCACUUCACUGCCAACGGAGUUAAGCUGCUCCGAUCUGAUUGGAAACAUCCGGCUCCUACGCCUGCCAACGGACAAUACCCCUUCCUCUGGGACCACUCGUUUCCUGAGCACAUUUUGGAGAAGAUGCCUAAACUUCACUGCAUGAGAUUAGACUAGAUCAACUGGAAAAUAUCCCCAGCUUCUGGGCCAGGGAGGCUAAUCUUCUCGAUGGUAAAAUGAAAAAAAGACUUGAUCACUAACGGAAUUAUUAUAUCAACGGAGGCAGAAAUAAAGAGCUAAGUGCUGCACUGGACCAGAAUUAACACGGUUUUCCCAUCCAGGCCACGCUGCUUCUCCUCUGCCCUGAACUACUGGAAUAGAAAUCUCCAGAGAGCUCCACGAUGGUUUGGCAUACUUAGAAUUGAUAAGACGCCCAGACAACUUCGGAAACCAACGACGUGAUGGUCAGGCAAAUCGCAACUCCAUCACGACCCUCUCCAGACAACUUUUCAAGUCCCUCUUGGCAGGUGACAUACCUGGAUCUUGUCAGCAAAUUUCUCCCACAUAGAA
Ornithorhynchus anatinus (platypus) is the source of this 1147-nucleotide long non-coding RNA. RefSeq lists it as uncharacterized. Lineage: Eukaryota; Metazoa; Chordata; Mammalia; Monotremata; Ornithorhynchidae. The transcript has 2 exons. The record is from RefSeq and is a predicted model, not a curated record.